AGUUUCUAGAGCUAUUUAUUCCUUUCCAGAAUCAAUUUAAUCUCCAGAGAAUCAUCUCCUUUUCUUCCCUUACAGGGAAGAACUGUUUCAUAGUAAGAAUGGGGCCCGUAAAAGUGCCAAGAAGGUCCUCAUUGUCAUCACAGAUGGGCAGAAAUACAGAGACCCCCUGGAGUACAGCGACGUCAUCCCCCAGGCAGAGAGAGCUGGCAUCAUCCGCUAUGCCAUUGGGGUAUGUCCUCUUCCUCAUGUCUCCCUCGGACUCAGGCUGCACCUCACCAGGGAAGAAAGGCUGGCGGGCUCCUCCUCAGCGGCCUCUCUGCCACAGGUGGGAGAUGCUUUCUGGAACCCCACUGCCAAGCAGGAGCUGGACAACAUUGGCUCAGAGCCGGCUCAGGACCAUGUGUUCAGGGUGGACAACUUUGCAGCACUUAGCAGCAUCCAGGAGCAGCUGCAGGAGAAGAUCUUUGCACUCGAAGGAACCCAGUCAACGACAAGUAGCUCUUUCCAACAUGAGAUGUCACAAGAAGGCUUCAGUUCAGUACUCACAAUGGAUGGACCAGUUCUGGGGGCUGUGGGGAGCUUCAGCUGGUCUGGAGGUGCCUUCCUGUACCCUCCAAAGACGAGCCCCACUUUCAUCAACAUAUCUCAAGAGAAUGUGGACAUGAGGGACUCUUACCUGGGUUACUCCGCUGAGCUGGCCUUUUGGAAGGGAGUACAGAGCCUGAUCCUGGGGGCCCCCCGCCAUCAGCACACCGGGAAGGUUGUCAUCUUCACUCAGGCAUCUGAGCAAUGGAGG
RNAcentral lists this long non-coding RNA (796 nucleotides) under Vulpes vulpes (red fox). Its description in RNAcentral is "lncRNA (ENSVVUG00000003135.1)". Lineage: Eukaryota; Metazoa; Chordata; Mammalia; Carnivora; Canidae. The record is from RNAcentral.